UCUCCCUGUGGCGCAGUGGAUAGCGCGUUGGACUUCUAAUUCAAAGGUCCCGGGUUUGAAUACCGGCAGGAAAU
RNAcentral lists this transfer RNA (74 nucleotides) under Rhipicephalus sanguineus (brown dog tick). Its description in RNAcentral is "transfer RNA arginine (anticodon UCU)". It matches the Rfam family "tRNA". Rfam says of the family: Transfer RNA (tRNA) molecules are approximately 80 nucleotides in length. Their secondary structure includes four short double-helical elements and three loops (D, anti-codon, and T loops). Lineage: Eukaryota; Metazoa; Arthropoda; Arachnida; Ixodida; Ixodidae. The record is from RNAcentral.